RNAcentral lists this long non-coding RNA (260 nucleotides) under Malus domestica (apple). Its description in RNAcentral is "long non-coding RNA (MDOM_LNC014126)". Lineage: Eukaryota; Viridiplantae; Streptophyta; Magnoliopsida; Rosales; Rosaceae. The record is from RNAcentral.
CAGCCAGGCUCAUCCACGUCUGGAUAUUCGGAGUGUAAAGUUUAUCCUCCCGUCUUGGAAAGCUGACCCAUAUGGGUGUCAAGGAAUUGGUUUACCCUCUCGAACUGGAAAGCAAUUAGUUUACCUUAUCGCACUGGAGAGCAUGGUUGGUCCCUCCGGGGCGCAAUUCCUGCGAUGAGUCCCUAAGUAAGGCGCAGUCUUCUUUUAAAGUGCAGAAGUGAUCAGUUGUUGUAAUUAUGCAGCCGAGCCAAUUUGUGAUU